AAGUGGGUCAGGCUGCUCUGCACCCCGGGCUCCAGGCAGGGCGUGGGGCGACUGGCACCCAACGGCGACCUGUCCUGCGACAUCAGGUCCACGAACUCCUUGCAGAUCUCCCUGAAGACGUGGAGUGAGGGGUGAGACAUGCUGCGUCGCGUGGGCAGCUGAUCCGGGUCGGACUGUCGGCACAGAUACUCCGCUGUGGCCCGGGCCGGAAACUCGGUCUCACAGACGUACCCGAAGUCCCGCGCGAGGUGAACCGCCUCACCUGAGAAGAGAGCGUGAAGAUUGAAAAAUGGAACUUGAACAUGCUGACUGAGAGCUGGAGUACCUUCCACCAGCGCUGUGAGGAGUGUGACGUUGGCGGCCUUUCUCCGGCCGGCCGGCAGGUUGAGGCCGAUCUUCUCCAGGCGUUCUCGCAGACAGCGGCCUCCGUUUUUUGACUUGGCUCUGAGGGAG
Long non-coding RNA from Ctenopharyngodon idella (grass carp), 453 nucleotides. RefSeq lists it as uncharacterized. The record is from RefSeq and is a predicted model, not a curated record. Lineage: Eukaryota; Metazoa; Chordata; Actinopteri; Cypriniformes; Xenocyprididae. The transcript is spliced from 3 exons.